Molecule: long non-coding RNA, 403 nt
Organism: Rana temporaria (common frog)
Lineage: Eukaryota; Metazoa; Chordata; Amphibia; Anura; Ranidae
Exons: 3
Source: RefSeq, a predicted model, not a curated record
UUCUUGGGUGAUUAUGCCAAGCAGGAAGAGGAAAACCAGUGGGAAAUUAAGAAGAUGAAGCACAAGAAGCAGAAGGAUUCUAGUAGCUGCGGCGUUUUGAUAUUGAUGUUUGCAAAGCACUAUCUGCUGUACAUUCCGGUGACACUGGUGGAGACAUCUUCUGAAUUUAUUAAAAAAGCAAGGAUGGACAUAGCUAGUUCUCUUCUCCUGUAUUCCAUGGAGAAAAUAGGAACAAGAAUUUCCUGGACUUGAAGGAUGCUAUAUGUCCUCCACUUGGAUAAACCUUGUGAUCUUCUCUUUUCUUGUAACUUCCUUUUGUAACUUCCUUCCCCUCAAAAGACCUGUUAGUCUGCCUUUAAAAUGUCCACCUCCACUCCAUUUAUUAUCCUAAAUUAGAUGCACC